This 210-nucleotide ribosomal RNA is filed under the name uncultured bacterium. Its description in RNAcentral is "partial 16S ribosomal RNA". It matches the Rfam family "Bacterial small subunit ribosomal RNA", at positions 1291 to 1500 of the family's 1533-position model. The record is from RNAcentral.
GUUCGGAUUGUAGGCUGCAACUCGCCUACAUGAAGUCGGAAUCGCUAGUAAUCGCGGAUCAGCAUGCCGCGGUGAAUACGUUCCCGGGCCUUGUACACACCGCCCGUCACACCAUGAGAGUUUGUAACACCCAAAGCCGGUGGGGUAACCUUUUGGAGCCAGCCGUCUAAGGUGGGACAGAUGAUUGGGGUGAAGUCGUAACAAGGUAGC